AAUGAAAUGCAUUGCCGCUGUCAUUUGUUCCGUCUCCACUGGAUUAAGCUGCUGGAUUCAGGUCACCAGAGUGACCUGGCCACAUGCCAAUAAAUGGCUAAGCUUGUUAUUAUAAAACCAAUCCUUUGUGAGUGACCAGCACCCGAGUGCUCCUGAAAUUAAAUACAUUCCUUGGGCAAGCUCCCUUUGAACUUGCUGGUCUUUAAAUUUCACAAAGAACUUGGAGUGCUACUGAUCUUUGCCUUAGGUGAGAAAGACAUAUCUUAACAUUCAUUUUGCAGAGGCUUUGCAAAGCUCUAGCAAACCCGUUUUAGGACACAUCAGAAAAUGGUACUACAGUCGUCGUCUCCCUCUACCACAGAGCAGCAGGUUGAAUGGAGAAAUGUCCAGAACGGGGCAUCUGCAUCAGAGGUAAGAAUGCAAAUGUUGGAUUCCCACCAUCCCUGGUCAUUGGUCAUGCUGAUGGUGGCUGAUGGCAGAUGGAGUUCAACAUGUUCUGGAGGAACACAGUCGCUCCCCUCCCUCAGUGUGGUGUAGUGGUUAAGAGCAGUGGACUCAUAAUCUGGUGAACUGGGUUUGCUUCCCCGCUCCUCCACAUGCAGCUGCUGGGUGACCUUGGGCCAGUCACACUUCUCUGAAGUCUCUCAGCCUCACUCACCUCACAGAGUGUUUGUUGUGGGGGAGGAAGGGAAAGGAGAUUGUUAGCCGCUUUGAGACUCCUUCGGGUAGUGAUAAAGCGGGAUAUCAAAUCCAAACUCCUCUUCCUCAUAAACACAAACUUUUUCAAUCUCUGUUUCGUUCACAUUUUUGAGAAACUUUGAAAGUCGUGACUAACCAGCCUUCUCGAAGAGUGCUAAUGAUUACAAGGAGGAGCUAAGCCAGAGUCAGCAUGCUUAUAUUGCCCAGAGGAACCACCUUCCCUGGGGCGCAAGUGAGUGUGUCAUGGGGGUGGGGCACGCCAUGGGGGUGGGGCACGCUGCUGCACUGACCCCUGCCCACUGGAGCUAAGCGGGGCUGCGCUGUGCUGCCUGCCAGGCCACGCAGUUGGGAGGUCGGUCAGCCGACACCCCCCUGCUUUGAGGGAUGCAAUUAUGGCCCCUUGCAAGACUUGCAAAACCAGCACUGGGUUUGCAGGGCACCGUGGAAGUAUUUUCAGACCUCCCAACCCUGCUUAUUUCCUUGAUGCUAGCAUGCUUCCUGGCUUGAGGCCAACAAUGGCACAGCCCCAUUCCAGAAGGAUUCUAAUGUCAUAACCUAUGGAUACAGGAUUUUUUUGUUUUUUAAAAAGAGAUGUUUUAAAAGAAUGAGUCUGAUUUACAGCAGCAUAUCAUAAAACAGAGGAAAGGGCUUGGUCUCAAAAACGAAAGCUACCCUCCUGCCUCCUCUUCCCACCCUCCAUAUUGCAAUCUAGGUUAAACUACCCAAGAAAACAACGCCAAGGAACUUGGGACUUCAGAAGUUCUUUUGUACCUCUACCUAUGUUCACAAGAUAGACAAAAAUCACUGGCUAAAAAGCUCUGGGAUUUUCAAAAGCAAACUGAGUGUUUUGUAGUGUUUUCAAACUGUUCCCCAAAGCAGCAGAGGCAAAAGACAAUUUAAUGUCACUCUGGCAACUCCUGUAAUAGAAGAAGCUAAUCAGGUAGUCUCUGGAAACAAAGGAAGGAGUAAUAAAACUUCAGAGAUAAGCUACACUUUGAACAUGUCAAAACCAGCCUUUCCCAAGGAAGAAAAAAGUGAUUUGUAUGCAAAUAAAGCCCAGUAUUUGCCGCCAAACCUGAAGGAAUACAGUUUUGGAACGCAUUUAAAGUUUGUCACGGCUCCAUUAAAAUGAAAUGCCAGCUUUGGGCCUGUCAUUGUCUCCUUUAGUGCCAAAGCAAACCAAAGAAACACAGAAGCUGCAGCCUACACUCAUGAAAAACAGACGCUGACACCUUGUAGGCAGUAAACCUUUGGCACCUCAUCAGCCUACAGCAUAGGCUGCUAUAGGACUCCCAAAAGACACAUUUUCUGCCGGGGAGCAGGUGCUACUCAGAUGCUCAACAAAGAGAAAAUGGAAAGUACUUGAUGUAUUGCAUAUAUCAAGUUUCAUUAUAUUAUCAACUUGCUUUACACAUGUCAAUGAAGUCUGGAUCCAGAGCUCACUGAGAUCAAUAGUAUGAUCUGGAGUGAUUUUCUUGCACCAUUAUCUGGUGAGAACAAGAGUAGAUCAGAGAUCCACUGGUACUCCACACCUGUUACUGUCUGAAGGGUUUCCAUGGCAUUUGACAACCAGCUAGUAAGCUUGGGUAGCUGAAAAGCUUUGCCCAGAUCCUUUCCUUGCACAUUUCCUUCCAACAUGAAGGAUCACUUGUACUUCUUAUCAGGGCUGGCCCAAGAUAUUUUGGCAUCUGAGGUGGACCUAAAAAUGGUGCUUCCCUUCCCGCUAGAGAAGAAGGGGUGGGGGUGGGGAGAUCGACAUGAGCAGAGCAACAAAAGAGCAAGAAAGAUUGACAUCAGGAUCUGCUGCCCCUGUGGACCUGGCCUCCUGAGGCGGUCGGUCACCUCACCCUGCCUCAUAUGUGGGCUGGCCCUGUUUCCUAUACUACUGCAAAACAGUCCUCAGCAUCAGGGGUUGGAGGAAUAGGGCAGUGGGACCAGUAGGGCAGAAGGCACUGUGAGCAGCCAGAAACAAUGACUGGCAAUAUCAUGCAAACUCAACUAAUUCUAGUUUUGCCCCUACCCUUCUUCCCAGUGGGUUAUACAGGGGAACCAGGGAUGUGGGUGGUGCUGUGAUCUAAAGCACUGAGCCUCUUGGGCUUGCCAAUCAGAAGGUUGGCGGUUCAAAUCCCUACAACGGGGUGAGCUCCUGCCAACCUAGCAGUUUGAAAGCACACCAGUGCAAGUAGAUAAAUAGGUACCGCUGCAGCAGGAAGGUAAAAGGUGUUCCCAUGUGCUCUGGCACUUGUCACGGUUCUCUGUGCACCAGAAGCGGUUUAGUCAUGCUGGCCACAUGAUCCAGAAAGCUGUCUGUGGACAAACGUCUGCUCCCUCGGCCUGAAAGCGAAAUGAGCGCUGCAACCCCAUAGUUGCCUUUGACUGGACUUAACCAUCCAGGCGUCCUUUACCUUUACAGGGGAAACAAUAAGGCAAAGGAAGAGGAAGCAGACAGGUCUGGUUCUAAGAAAGAAAGAAAGCAGGUGGGGACUGGUUGGUGGGACACUGCCCCAUUCGCCCCAAAGCCUCCACAACAUCCAUCUACUUAUGUAACCAUUUCCCACCUCACUGCCCAGCCUUUGCUGAGAAUCACUACCACAAUAUGAAACCGAAAGCCCUUAUCGUUAUGCAAAGAAUUUUCUAGUCAGCAGCAGGAGCAAUUGCUUGGAAGUUUCUCUCAGAGACAGAGCUACUAAUAACAAUAAGAUUUCCCCCCUCCCGCUUAUCAUCAUUCAUGUUCUCUGAAUAGGAAGUUUCCUCAACAAAUAUAAAUCAGAGUGAUGGGAAAGUGGAGGCAAGCAAGAAUAAGGAAACAAGAGGUGAAAAGUAGGUUGUUAUUUUAGCCAAUGGGUAGUAAAAAAAAUAUCAGCUCAUGGAUUUGUCCUAUUUUCUACCCGUACAAAGUUCUAAUAGGCUCCCUGAUAUCAAUGACAUAUUAUUUUUUUAAUACGCAUGGCUUACAUAAUUUAAGACAAUUGCAUAAUUCUACCAGGCCUUUUGACCCUUCUCAUAUUUUUUCGCUUCUCCACAUGCAGCAACAAAGUUAAUGAGGGUUUGCCGAAGAGACCCAUAUGUGAUAAGCCAAGUUCGCUUUCCAAAUAACAAAGCUGAAAUUAUUUCUGAACAAGAAGGAAACAAGAAUAAUCUAGGGAUAUUUUUGAACUGGAAUGGCAUGAAGGAAGUUUGAAACCCACCUGUCUUAUCCAAGCUCUUUUGGCUUCACUUGGAAUUUCUUAGGCAUUUUGCC
Molecule: non-coding RNA, 3940 nt
Organism: Podarcis lilfordi (Lilford's wall lizard)
Lineage: Eukaryota; Metazoa; Chordata; Lepidosauria; Squamata; Lacertidae
Source: the annotation of a GenBank genome assembly